Non-coding RNA from Triticum urartu, 508 nucleotides. NCBI's taxonomy places the organism in Eukaryota, Viridiplantae, Streptophyta, Magnoliopsida, Poales, Poaceae. The record is from RefSeq and is a predicted model, not a curated record.
GGAGAGACAACCUCAGGGACGCUAGCUGCUUAACUGAACAUGAAACCGAACCUGGGGUUUCUCUUUUGAUGGUUGCUGCAUGUUAAGGAGUUCAUAUGAGGUCUUCUGGAAGAAUUUGUGAAGAUAUACCCUGUUGAUUAUGUGACACGCAGUAUCAAUAGCCUCAGACCAGAAGCGAUGAGGCGUCUUGUAUUCAUCAAGCAUAGUGCGAGCCAUCUCAACAAUAGUCCUGUUCUUGCGCUCCACAACGCCAUUCUGCUAAGGAGUGUAUGGGUCAGAUAACUCAUGAGUAAUACUAAGUUCAUCAAGAUAGUCAUCAAGACCAGUGUUUUUGAACUCGGUCCCAUUGUCACUCCGGAUAUGCUUGAUCUUCACAUGGAAAUUCGUCGAGGCCCUUGAGGAAAAUCGUUUGAAGACUUCCUACACUUUAGUUUUGUACAUGAUGAUAUGCGUCCAGGUGUAAUGAGAAUAAUCGCCAACAAUAACAAAGCCGUAUAGAGAUGCUGCA